This 1183-nucleotide long non-coding RNA is filed under the name Monodelphis domestica (gray short-tailed opossum). RNAcentral describes it as "lncRNA (ENSMODG00000032491.2)". Lineage: Eukaryota; Metazoa; Chordata; Mammalia; Didelphimorphia; Didelphidae. The record is from RNAcentral.
AUGAACACUCUACCUCACCAAGCUCAGCUCCUCUUUCAGACCAGCAUAAUGUCAAAAACAGGAGGGAGGCUGUGCUCAGCUUUAUAUGUUUUGCUUCCAGAAUCAUAGCUAUAGACUUGUAAAUGCAUUUAGAGCUCAUCUAGUUCAACAUUUUCAUUUUAUUUGACACCCUGAGAGUUUGAGUAAUUUGACCAAGAUCAGAAGUCGGUUUUGAACUCAGAUUCCUGGAAAAAUCAGAAUCAGGAUCAGGAGAAGGCAACUAAAACAAUUGAGAGGGCUGCAGAUCUCUUGCUACAUGCAGAUGUAAUAGAUGUUUAGCAUAGAGGAGAGAAAACUUGGGGAAAAGGGGGCCAAGCUGAGGAGGAAGAAGGAAGGAAGGAAGAAAGAAGGAAGAAAGGAAGGAAGGAAGGAAGGAAGGAAGGAAGGAAGGAAGGAAGGAAGGAAGGAACGAACGAACGAACGAACGAACGAACGAAGGAACGAAGGAGUUAAAGAAACUUUCCUAACCAUUAAUUAUCCAAAAGUAGAAUGGGACACAUUGAGAGAGAGGAUAUAGGUUUCUCCUGCCAGGAGGCUUCAACCAAAGAUUCCUGAAAGCUGGAAGUGACCUUAGAGGUUGCUAGUUCAACAUCAUUAUUCAUAUUGACAUGAAACUAGAUUAUCCUGUGGGUCCUGGGAAGAUCGUGCAGGUGAGGGGGAACUAGGUGGCUCAAUGGAUAGAAAUCCAGGCUUAGAGAGGGGAGAUUAUGGGUUUAAAUCUGGCUUUCUAUAUUUCUUAUUUGUGUGAUCCUGUUCAAGUCACUUAACCUCAAUUGUCUAGCCCUUAGGGCUUUUCUGCCUUGGAAAAAUACACAGCAUUGAUUCUAAGACAGCAGGUAAGGGUGUAAAAAACAUACUUGGAGUUAGAAGCACUCUGUGGGCAUAUACCCCAACAAAGUACAUUACAUUUACCAAAGCAAAGAGAAAAUACAAAAAAAGGGAUUAAAUGACAAGAAAACAUGUCCCUCCCCAUGCCCAUAAGGUCAUUCUCCCACCAGUUACCACAGCACCAAUGAGGAGAAUUCACAUGUGCAGAGAAUAUGUGUGAUCACAGAAAAGGAAUGAACCCAUUUCCAGGAUGUAUAUCUAACUAAGGAAAAGGAGUGCAGAAAUGCAUAUACAGUAUGACUAUGGUGGCCAGGAC